RNAcentral lists this ribosomal RNA (765 nucleotides) under Staphylococcus pseudintermedius. Its description in RNAcentral is "partial 23S ribosomal RNA". It matches the Rfam family "Bacterial large subunit ribosomal RNA", at positions 380 to 1146 of the family's 2925-position model. Lineage: Bacteria; Bacillati; Bacillota; Bacilli; Caryophanales; Staphylococcaceae. The record is from RNAcentral.
CGAAAACGAAUUCUCUCUUGAGUGGAUCCUGAGUACGACGGAGCACGUGAAAUUCCGUCGGAAUCUGGGAGGACCAUCUCCUAAGGCUAAAUACUCUCUAGUGACCGAUAGUGAACCAGUACCGUGAGGGAAAGGUGAAAAGUACCCCGGAAGGGGAGUGAAAGAGAACUUGAAACCGUGUGCUUACAAGUAGUCAGAGCCCGUUAAUGGGUGAUGGCGUGCCUUUUGUAGAAUGAACCGGCGAGUUACGAUCUGAUGCAAGGUUAAGCAGAAAAUGUGGAGCCGUAGCGAAAGCGAGUCUGAAUAGGGCGAAUGAGUAUUUGGUCGUAGACCCGAAACCAGGUGAUCUACCCUUGGUCAGGUUGAAGUUCAGGUAACACUGAAUGGAGGACCGAACCGACUUACGUUGAAAAGUGAGCGGAUGAACUGAGGGUAGCGGAGAAAUUCCAAUCGAACUUGGAGAUAGCUGGUUCUCUCCGAAAUAGCUUUAGGGCUAGCCUCAAGUGAUGAUUAUUGGAGGUAGAGCACUGUUUGGACGAGGGGCCCCUCUCGGGUUACCGAAUUCAGACAAACUCCGAAUGCCAAAUAAUUUAACUUGGGAGUCAGAAUGUGGGUGAUAAGGUCCAUAUUCGAAAGGGAAACAGCCCAGACCACCAGCUAAGGUCCCAAAAUAUAUGUUAAGUGGAAAAGGAUGUGGCGUUGCCCAGACAACUAGGAUGUUGGCUUAGAAGCAGCCAUCAUUUAAAGAGUGCGUAAUAGCUCACU